CGCGCAGGUGGCGGUGCUGGCCCGGCGUGAAAGCCCCCGGCUCAACCGGGGAGGGUCGUCGGGGACCGCACCGCUUGAGGGCGGUAGGGGCUGGUGGAAUGCCUGGUGUAGUGGUGAAAUGCGUAGAGAUCAGGCGGAACACCCGUAGCGAAGGCGGCCAGCUGGGCCGACCCUGACACUGAGGCGCGAAGGCGUGGGGAGCGAAC
RNAcentral lists this ribosomal RNA (206 nucleotides) under uncultured bacterium. RNAcentral's name for it is "partial 16S ribosomal RNA". It matches the Rfam family "Bacterial small subunit ribosomal RNA", at positions 568 to 773 of the family's 1533-position model. The record is from RNAcentral.